GUCUCCAGUUUGGAGAACUGCAGGUGGUGCAGGAUGACAUAUAUAUCAUGCAGGACUACGUUGACAUGGUGACAUAAUACUACGUUUAACAUGAGUUCUUUCGUGGAUGGAACUUGUAGUUGGGUGGUACGGUCGUGAAGGUGGUCAGCUGCAGUGGUCUGAGUGAUCAGGACAGGGACCGUGUGGGCCUGCCUUGAUAGACAGUUCUUCUGGUACUCUAUUUCAGGAGGUGUUCAGCUUAAUACGAGAUGAUGAGCUGUAUAGCUAUUGAUUUGAAGACAUCGUAGCUACAACUCCCCUCCCCCUCCCCCUACAAUUUCCAGACCAAGAUGGAUAAUUGGGUCGACGACAUUCGCCAGUGGCCUUUUUUAACAGAUCAAGGUAUCCAGGAUUACUUCUUAAAGCGUUUGGCCUGUGAUGAGCAACCUAAUGCUAAUUACCGAUCUCUGAUUGAGGGACAAAACUAUCUAAGAUCUGGAUGGGUUGGUCAAA
This is a long non-coding RNA of Strongylocentrotus purpuratus (purple sea urchin), 492 nucleotides long. RefSeq lists it as uncharacterized. The record is from RefSeq and is a predicted model, not a curated record. The transcript is spliced from 4 exons. Lineage: Eukaryota; Metazoa; Echinodermata; Echinoidea; Camarodonta; Strongylocentrotidae.